CCAUUACUUUCACAUUUUUUAGCCAAGUCAACAAUAAAUUUUGAGAAUCAUAUAUAGAAGGUAGAUUUGGUAUAGUAGACAUAUUAUCAUCUAUCACUAGCUCUACCACCAUUCCACUCCACUAUGAAGUUUCCCCAAAAAACCCGAGACGCCUAUAAUGGAGAAUGUGUUCAUCCACAAAAAGCAACUAGGUAGCCUAUUAUAUUUGCACAACGUGAUCGGUGAAUAUUUGUUUGGUUUAGGCGAUUCUUCACUUCACUACAUAUAUGUAGGCCAUAAACAAAUGCGAGUCACUAAUCUUCAUAAAACCACAUGGGAUUAGCGCAUAUUAUUAUUUUUUUAAUAAUUUAUAUAAGAUAUUGGUUAACACCAAAAAUCCAAUUAUCACGUAUAGUGCAAAUACAUAUGAUAUUAGUUGUAAUUGUGUAUAAUGAAAAGAAAAAUGACAUGGUACAAAUCGUUGAAAUUAAAUUUGAUGCUCAUAGCACUUGGGUUGUGAUAGUGGUGUGUGAGGACCUAGCUAGGUGGUCUUGGAAGGGAAAGAAAAGAGGAAAAUAUUUUUAAAAAAUAAAAUCAAAAAGGAAAAAUCAUAAAGAGAAUGGCAUAAACGAAUUAGUAAUACUAGUGGAUUAGACUUUGAAGUGGUGGGGUGGUGAAACAAGUUGGUGCCAUGUGACCAAAAAGAACCCAAGAAGAAAAAAAUUGUGAUGAUGCAAAGAAAUAAUAAGAAAGACAAAGUUAUGGAAAACCCUAGAAAACGAAAGGAGUUUAGUUUGGGUUGGAAAUGUGUGGGUCAAAUAAUUCGGAGUUAUUAUUGACUAGAUGAGGACAAAGUAAUUGUGCUAAGCAAUGUUUUUUUUUUAUUUUUUUUAUAGAUUC
This 879-nucleotide long non-coding RNA is filed under the name Cicer arietinum (chickpea). Its description in RNAcentral is "long non-coding RNA (CARI_LNC002236)". Lineage: Eukaryota; Viridiplantae; Streptophyta; Magnoliopsida; Fabales; Fabaceae. The record is from RNAcentral.